CCUCCCAAGAUUUGGUUCUCGAUCCGCCCCUGCACAUGUUAGAAUAAAAUCCAACCAGUAAUUUAGAUUGGCAGCAUACAGAGUUAAAACAACCCUGUUAAUGAUAGGAAAGGAAAAUACUAAACUUUUUAGACUAUAAGCUUAUUUGGGUAGGGCCCUCUUCACCUACCGUUCCUAUAUAUCAGAACACGUUUUCACAGGAUUGUUUGUGCUGAUU
Molecule: non-coding RNA, 217 nt
Organism: Pelobates cultripes (western spadefoot toad)
Lineage: Eukaryota; Metazoa; Chordata; Amphibia; Anura; Pelobatidae
Source: the annotation of a GenBank genome assembly